Molecule: long non-coding RNA, 214 nt
Filed under: Mytilus galloprovincialis (Mediterranean mussel)
Lineage: Eukaryota; Metazoa; Mollusca; Bivalvia; Mytilida; Mytilidae
Source: RNAcentral
GUGAUCUAUACCAUUGAAAUAUAAUGGCUAUAAUUUGGAUCUGUGCAUUACUUAGUUUGAUCAAGCAUGUCACAAGUCACGAUGGAAUACAUUGUACGAUUGAGAUGUGUAAAUGUACAGAUGAUAAAGCCAUAUGCUCUGGUAAAAAUCUUACUUAUAUUCCACGUUUUCCAAGUGGUGUUCAAUCAGUUACUUUUCUGAAUGGGAAUAUUGG